RNAcentral lists this ribosomal RNA (261 nucleotides) under uncultured prokaryote. RNAcentral's name for it is "partial 16S ribosomal RNA". It matches the Rfam family "Bacterial small subunit ribosomal RNA", at positions 524 to 784 of the family's 1533-position model. The record is from RNAcentral.
UACGUAGGUGGCGAGCGUUAUCCGGAAUUAUUGGGCGUAAAGAGCGCGCAGGUGGUUGAUUAAGUCUGAUGUGAAAGCCCACGGCUUAACCGUGGAGGGUCAUUGGAAACUGGUCGACUUGAGUGCAGAAGAGGGAAGUGGAAUUCCAUGUGUAGCGGUGAAAUGCGUAGAGAUAUGGAGGAACACCAGUGGCGAAGGCGGCUUCCUGGUCUGUAACUGACGCUGAGGCUCGAAAGCGUGGGGAGCGAACAGGAUUAGAUA